ACUCUAAUGGGGGAACAAUGAGAGCAGCAAGAAGGGGCUAGUGGCCUCUUCUAGUUCCUUCCAACCUGGCAGCAGGCAAGCUCCUAUUCUGACACCUGAGCCCUUGUGGUGGGGCCCGUUCUGAGUCAACCAGAGCACAGGCCGGGGAUAGAGGCAAGGAGGCAGCAAUUCAACAGUGAAUUUGGGACCUUUGGAGCAAUCAAGGGGAAGGUGGUGGUGCUGCUGAUGGCGGUGGAGAGCUCUGGACUAAACCUGUCAUGAUGAUCCUGGAUUGUUUUUAUUCCAACCUCCCAGCUGACCUUGGGGACUGGAUAGGUAAGUACUAAGACAACAAUUCUCAGACCUCACCCACUGUGUCUUAUCAAGUGCAUCAUAUUUUCUAGCUGGGUCAGCACAUGACUAUUGUUUCUAACGCAAAGAAAACAUAACACAGGGCAUCCAUUUUGCUGGAGGGAAUUGACUAGGCCAGGCUCAGACACUAUUGCAUAGUGGGUAUCUUCAAUACAAAGGAAGCUGCCCCAGUUAAGGAGGCAGAACUAGGAAAAGACCGACUGAGAAGAGGCUGGG
Long non-coding RNA from Homo sapiens (human), 567 nucleotides. The record is from Ensembl. Lineage: Eukaryota; Metazoa; Chordata; Mammalia; Primates; Hominidae.